GACGAACGCCGGCGGCGUGCCUAAUACAUGCAAGUAGAACGCUGAAGGAGGAGCUUGCUCUUCUGGAUGAGUUGCGAACGGGUGAGUAACGCGUAGGUAACCUGCCUGGUAGCGGGGGAUAACUAUUGGAAACGAUAGCUAAUACCGCAUAACAGUAGAUGUUGCAUGACAUUUACUUAAAAGGUGCAAUUGCAUCACUACCAGAUGGACCUGCGUUGUAUUAGCUAGUUGGUGGGGUAACGGCUCACCAAGGCGACGAUACAUAGCCGACCUGAGAGGGUGAUCGGCCACACUGGGACUGAGACACGGCCCAGACUCCUACGGGAGGCAGCAGUAGGGAAUCUUCGGCAAUGGACGGAAGUCUGACCGAGCAACGCCGCGUGAGUGAAGAAGGUUUUCGGAUCGUAAAGCUCUGUUGUAAGAGAAGAACGAGUGUGAGAGCGGAAAGUUCACACUGUGACGGUAUCUUACCAGAAAGGGACGGCUAACUACGUG
RNAcentral lists this ribosomal RNA (495 nucleotides) under uncultured bacterium. RNAcentral describes it as "partial 16S ribosomal RNA". It matches the Rfam family "Bacterial small subunit ribosomal RNA", at positions 28 to 507 of the family's 1533-position model. The record is from RNAcentral.